Long non-coding RNA from Prunus avium (sweet cherry), 683 nucleotides. RefSeq lists it as uncharacterized. The record is from RefSeq and is a predicted model, not a curated record. NCBI's taxonomy places the organism in Eukaryota, Viridiplantae, Streptophyta, Magnoliopsida, Rosales, Rosaceae.
ACUCACUUCCUCAUGUGAAAGUACUAAAUUGCCCUUCAUAUAAAUAGAUAUUAUAUUGACCAUGUAUCCUUCUCUGAAACCCAAUUCCUCCCAACUCUUCCUUCCUCUCUCGUAGUCCUCUGUCGUCCCCAUCGCACAUCUAGAACGGCGAAUCAAUUCAUAGCAUUAUAGCGCAUCUGGAAGAAAGGCAUAACGCAAGAAGGUCAUUUUCAAAAUUUCUAGAGAAUGGUUACCUAGGUGAGUGUAGAGCUAAAGUUGCAGAGCUAUCAAAUUUCGUCGUCUAAAACAGGGAAUGGGGAACUACACAUGCGAGUGAAUUUCACCUUCAUAACACAGCUCAUCACUUGGAGGUUCGAGAUUGGACAGAAGCUACUGGUUUCUACACGGUUAGAAGAUGGCUUUGAGAAAUGAAGAUGCGCCACCAGUUUUGUUCCACCACAUAAUCAUUGUUGUAAUAGGAGUGGAAUUGGAUAUUAGUUGCGCUUUGAUAUGAUCAGCUAUUCCUUAUUUAUUAGUAGUGGUUUCAUGAAUUAGUAACCAUGAAACUAGAGUGGAUAGAGAAACUGCAUAUGUAUAUGUUUAGCUAAUAAGUAGCCUAGCAAUAUAAACUCAAGUUUAUGUAUUGCGUUGUUAUUGCCCUUUAUUGCUUUCUUAUUGUGCCUAUAUUGUUGUCUUAACUCUUU